CUUCUCCUCCACGUUCGCCUUCUCCUGGAAAUAGAUCACCAUAUUCUGCUUCAGACUCAACUUUUUCCCCAAAGAGUGCAAAGUCCAGUGACCUCCCUUCAUAUUCUAUACCAGAAAAGAAAGAAUACCCUGUUGACCCCUCCUUGCCUGACAUAAAAAACGACAUAUAUUCUUCAGAUGAAUUCAGGAUGUUCUCAUUUAAGAUCAGACCUUGCUCUCGUGCAUACUCGCAUGAUUGGACUGAAUGUCCAUUUCUCCAUCCAGGCGAAAAUGCUCGAAGAAGGGAUCCAAGAAAAUACCACUACAGUUGUGUACCUUGCCCUGAGUUCCGCAAGGGAGCUUGCCAACGUGGGGACAUGUGUGAAUACGCUCAUGGGGUCUUUGAGUGUUGGCUGCACCCUGCACAAUAUCGAACUCGGCUUUGCAAAGAUGGUAUAGAUUGUAACAGAAGAGUUUGCUUCUUU
This 464-nucleotide long non-coding RNA is filed under the name Solanum lycopersicum (tomato). Its description in RNAcentral is "long non-coding RNA (SLYC_LNC000827)". The record is from RNAcentral. Lineage: Eukaryota; Viridiplantae; Streptophyta; Magnoliopsida; Solanales; Solanaceae.